Molecule: ribosomal RNA, 804 nt
Filed under: uncultured Actinomycetes bacterium
Lineage: Bacteria; Bacillati; Actinomycetota; Actinomycetes
Description: bacterial SSU rRNA
Rfam family: Bacterial small subunit ribosomal RNA
Source: RNAcentral
AGUCGAACGGGGGCUUUCGCAGUGGCAACACUUCGGAGGUUCUAGUGGCGAACGGGUGAGUAACACGCUGAGGAACUUGCCCCGGACUCUGGAAUAACAGGUGGAAACACCUGCUAAUACCGGAUGCCAUCGGUGGAUCGCAUGGUCUACCGAUGAAAGAAUUUCGGUCCGGGAUGGCCUCGCGGCCUAUCAGCUAGUUGGUGGGGUAACGGCCUACCAAGGCGUCGACGGGUAGCUGGUCUGAGAGGAUGAUCAGCCACACUGGGACUGAGACACGGCCCAGACUCCUACGGGAGGCAGCAGUAGGGAAUCUUGCGCAAUGGGCGAAAGCCUGACGCAGCAACGCCGCGUGCGGGAAGAAGGCCUUCGGGUUGUAAACCGCUUUUGGCAGGAACGAAAAUGACGGUACCUGCAGAAGAAGGUGCGGCCAACUACGUGCCAGCAGCCGCGGUGACACGUAGGCACCAAGCGUUGUCCGGAUUUAUUGGGCGUAAAGAGCUCGUAGGCGGUUCAGUAAGUCGGGUGUGAAAACUCUGGGCUUAACCCAGAGAGGCCACCCGAUACUGUUGAACUUGAGUUCGGUAGGGGAGUUGGGGAAUUCCUGGUGUAGCGGUGAAAUGCGCAGAUAUCAGGAGGAACACCGGUGGCGAAGGCGCCACUCUGGGCCGAAACUGACGCUGAGGAGCGAAAGCGUGGGUAGCAAACAGGAUUAGAUACCCUGGUAGUCCACGCCGUAAACGUUGGGCACUAGGUGUGGGCUCCAACCAACGGAGUCCGUGCCGUCGCUAACGCAUUAAGUGCCCC